Molecule: ribosomal RNA, 253 nt
Filed under: uncultured bacterium
Lineage: Bacteria
Description: partial 16S ribosomal RNA
Rfam family: Bacterial small subunit ribosomal RNA
Source: RNAcentral
UACGGAGGGUGCAAACGUUGCUCGGAAUCACUGGGCGUAAAGCGCACGUAGGCGGCCUUGUAAGUUGGAUGUGAAAGCCCUGGGCUCAACCCAGGAAGUGCAUCCAAAACUGCAUGGCUUGAGUACCGGAGGGGUUCAGAGAAUUCCUGGUGUAGAGGUGAAAUUCGUAGAUAUCAGGAGGAAUACCAGUGGCGAAGGCGCUGAACUGGACGGUCACUGACGCUGAGGUGCGAAAGCGUGGGUAGCAAACAGG